Molecule: ribosomal RNA, 1437 nt
Filed under: uncultured organism
Description: SSU rRNA
Rfam family: Bacterial small subunit ribosomal RNA
Source: RNAcentral
AUGAACGCUAGCUACAGGCUUAACACAUGCAAGUCGAGGGGCAUCAGGAAGAAAGCUUGCUUUCUUUGCUGGCGACCGGCGCACGGGUGAGUAACACGUAUCCAACCUGCCCUUUACUCGGGGAUAGCCUUUCGAAAGAAAGAUUAAUACCCGAUAGCAUAAUGAUUCCGCAUGGUUUCAUUAUUAAAGGAUUCCGGUAAAGGAUGGGGAUGCGUUCCAUUAGGUUGUUGGUGGGGUAACGGCCCACCAAGCCUUCGAUGGAUAGGGGUUCUGAGAGGAAGGUCCCCCACAUUGGAACUGAGACACGGUCCAAACUCCUACGGGAGGCAGCAGUGAGGAAUAUUGGUCAAUGGGCGCUAGCCUGAACCAGCCAAGUAGCGUGAAGGAUGAAGGCUCUAUGGGUCGUAAACUUCUUUUAUAUAAGAAUAAAGUGCAGUAUGUAUACUGUUUUGUAUGUAUUAUAUGAAUAAGGAUCGGCUAACUCCGUGCCAGCAGCCGCGGUAAUACGGAGGAUCCGAGCGUUAUCCGGAUUUAUUGGGUUUAAAGGGAGCGUAGGUGGACUGGUAAGUCAGUUGUGAAAGUUUGCGGCUCAACCGUAAAAUUGCAGUUGAUACUGUCAGUCUUGAGUACAGUAGAGGUGGGCGGAAUUCGUGGUGUAGCGGCGAAAUGCUUAGAUAUCACGAAGAACUCCGAUUGCGAAGGCAGCUCACUGGACUGCAACUGACACUGAUGCUCGAAAGUGUGGGUAUCAAACAGGAUUAGAUACCCUGGUAGUCCACACAGUAAACGAUGAAUACUCGCUGUUUGCGAUAUACAGUAAGCGGCCAAGCGAAAGCAUUAAGUAUUCCACCUGGGGAGUACGCCGGCAACGGUGAAACUCAAAGGAAUUGACGGGGGCCCGCACAAGCGGAGGAACAUGUGGUUUAAUUCGAUGAUACGCGAGGAACCUUACCCGGGCUUAAAUUGCAGUGGAAUGAUGUGGAAACAUGUCAGUGAGCAAUCACCGCUGUGAAGGUGCUGCAUGGUUGUCGUCAGCUCGUGCCGUGAGGUGUCGGCUUAAGUGCCAUAACGAGCGCAACCCUUAUCUUUAGUUACUAACAGGUCAUGCUGAGGACUCUAGAGAGACUGCCGUCGUAAGAUGUGAGGAAGGUGGGGAUGACGUCAAAUCAGCACGGCCCUUACGUCCGGGGCUACACACGUGUUACAAUGGGGGGUACAGAAGGCAGCUAGCGGGUGACCGUAUGCUAAUCCCAAAAGCCUCUCUCAGUUCGGAUCGAAGUCUGCAACCCGACUUCGUGAAGCUGGAUUCGCUAGUAAUCGCGCAUCAGCCACGGCGCGGUGAAUACGUUCCCGGGCCUUGUACACACCGCCCGUCAAGCCAUGGGAGCCGGGGGUACAAGAAGUACGUAACCGCAAGGAUCGUCCUAGGGUAAAACU